UUUUUUUUUUUUUUUUUUUUUAAUUCCCUUUGGAUUACAUAGCAGCACAUAAACGUGCACAGCUAAUUCUGCCCAAGUGUCUGUUUUGAGCUGAAGGUAAAAGUCACCGAAGAAGGAGCUUUCUAGCACACAAAACGUAAGUUUUCUGUUGAUUAAAAAAUUAUGUAUUAGAAGACUAUUUAGAAGUUUUGGAGUCUGCAUUGAUUGCAACACUGGUCAGGCUGAACUUGACCCGCUUGCCUAGAAGGUGACCAGUUGCUGGACAACUUCUGAUUUGUAAUUUAUUUCAAAAGCAAUCUAGCGUUAGUGUGAACUGACAGCCGUCUGGGUGUAUAGGAACAAAUUGAUUACACGUUUCUUUGACUUUUUAGGAAAAAAUCCCCGUGCAAAAACCAAUGUCUGUGGAUGCUGUUUGGUAGAUUGCUUUUAUCAUUCAGAGUAGGUUUAUUUUUACGUUACCCAUUUGCUCUAAAAUAGUCAGGGCUUUAAGAUUCAGAUCGUUCUGCGGGGUUCUUACACAGGAGUCCUGAGCUGGUUGGCCAGCUCGCCUUUGACUUCACAGGUGUGUGCCUCCAUACCUGAAAUUUACGUGACCUAGAGACUGUUACUAGAAGGGUACUUUUAGUUAGGGUGUGCAUAGAAAGCAGUGUCAGACGCUGCGUCAAAUGACUAGUAACACUUGAUUUCUAGAGUUGUGGUUUUAUUGAGCCAAAUAUAUGAAAAAAAAAUCAUUUAGGAAAAAGUCAGUGAAGGGCUCUUUUUUUUUUUUUUUUUUUUUUUUUUGUUAGUUGGACUUCCAAUAAUUUUGAUUACACCAGUGCACUUUGGUUUGCUUGGUUUCGCUUUAGGGUUCUCUGUGUAUUGUGGGGGGAAAUUAAGGUGGCCAUUGAGGACUUUGGCAGGUUGUAGUGUCUGCUUCAGCAGCUAGCCUGUGAGAAGUUACGUUCCCUUAUGAGAGUAGUGAUUGGAGCAUUUCUAUCUGAUAAGAAAGAUGAAGAACGUAGUGAUUUCUCAGAGGAAAACUGAAGACGAUUAUUUGCAAAAUUGAGUUGUCCUAAAAAUAAUUUGUUAACAUCUGUUAGUCUGGAAAAUGGUGGUGACCAUGAGACUAAAAAAAAUUUUAGUGUCUUUAGAUUUCAUGGGAACUUUAGGCUCUGUUUGUAUGUAUUUUUACAUCUUGAUAAGUUUGCGUCUUUUCAAAUAUUAACCAUAGGGAGUAUUUUUAACUUGUAGAGGGUAACAGUGACUAUGGAAGUUAACUGUAUUAUCUUUUAAGAUCAGUGAUUACUGAAGUGCCCGUAUUGUGAGGUGGUUUUUUUUUUCUUUUUUUUUUUGUUGUAGUUGUUUUGUUUUUUUAAGAUUCUAUUCACAGUUUUUAUUUUACACUGUUUUGUAUCUGCUAAGUUGUAUUUCUUUUCCGAGCAACAUGACUGGGCAUCCUGAUCGCUGUGUAACAGUUUACAAACUUCAUUUUCAUAAAGAUUGUUCAAGAAUAGAGCGCAUCUAAAAGGAGAAUAAUUCACAGUUUAUAUGACUUUGUAUAAGGAAAAAGGAAUUUUAUUGCUGUCCAUUGUAAAAGUUUGCACAGGAGUACAACCAUCAGUACAGAUUUUACAUUGCUUAUGAUACACUAAAUGAAUAAUAGAUGAAUAAGCGUCAUAAAAUAUGGUGAGGUAUAACCACCGUAGUUUUACAUUUAUUUUUAGAGAGCAUAGAAAAAGAUGCAUUGGUGUUCCUUACCUUUUAGAAUUUUACUUUAACACGAGAAAGGCGGCUAUUGAUAUUUUAGUUUUUAUGUGGGACGGUGUAUCUGCUUUUUCCUAAUAACCACUCAAAAAAAAUACUCAAACUUCUUAAUGUUCGAGGUUUCCUUGGUUUUUAGAAGUGAAAUCUCUGAUUCUUAUUUUCACAUGUUCUCAUUUUGAGAGUUGCCCCGUUUGCUGUUGAUUUGUGUGGUGAUAGCUUAGUACUUUUUAAUAUAUCUUAAGCCACUUAAUCACUUCAGUGACUUUUAAUGAAGGAAUAUUUAUUAUGGGAAAAUCAGUGCACAAAGUUUCAACAUUAAUUCACUCUCAGUAAACAUUGUACUGUAAAGUUUUGACCUCAGCCUUUUUAGUAAGACAGAUGUGUAGGAAAUGUUUUUAUACUACAGUAAUGUAUGUGAAAUGGAGUUUGUAAAGAGAGAUUGAGAAGUGUGCAUGCAUAUGAUAGUUUCUCACUUCCUUGGAAUGUUUGGGCUUGGUCAUGGUACAAGGAAGGAUUUAGCUUCCAGAAGCUAUGUUAUUAAUUAUCAUGUAAAACAUUUCUUUGAUAUCAUUUUUUUUUUCCCCUUUAGAGACCACGAGUUCUUAAGUUCUGUUUCUAUCUUGCAGAGACCUCACUCUUACCUUUUUUCUCCCUCUCUGUUUUUGUGAGCUAAACUUUGAUUUUAAGUGAGGUCAGCAUUGGAGAAUUCUUUUGGUGACCUGAAUUCUUUGAGAAAAUGUGUUAGAAUUUGUUCUAAGGAUGGAGAGACUUAAGACAUUUGUAUCAACGUCUGAGAUAGGGGUCAGUAAUGAUUUCAGUAAAUAUUCAGUUUUACAGUGGCUUUCUGUCUGGUAGCUUUGAAAUGAAUGCAUUUGCUCUCAGAGCUGUCAGUAAUGUUGAGGUUAGACUGCAUAACCUUAAGUUCGUAAGGAUUUGCUGAGCAAACUGAUAUCCUUAAUUGUUUUAUAAAGGCCACUUACUGCCACAUGCAUUCUUUGCUGGGUGGUCUGUCAAUAUGAUUGCUUUUCUAAGCACUGGAUACCUGCACCCACUAAUGGACAAUAGUUUCCUUUGUCAGGAAAGGUAAAGUUAGCAUAUUGGAUUUGACUCUUCACCUAGCCUCUAAGUUUUUGAAAUUUUUUUCACUGGUUACAGAAAAGGUAUUAGCAGUCUGGUUCUUUACAAGUAAUUUGCGCUGGAAUAAAGGCUGUUGGGAAACAUAAUAAUAUAAGAAGAACAAACAUCACUUAGGCGUGAAUUAGUUUUAGAGGGGAUAUUUCAGUUCAGUAUAGUUAGGGCAUAUUCUCUUUAUUUGCAGCACUUUGCAUUUAACAGGCAGGUGGACGUCUUCAGGGUGUCAGGGUAUACACUCGGUUGUCCUGAGAAUACCGACUAGUGGAUAUGUGUGGCUACACCCGACAGCACACGGUGUGCACGUGGUGUGGAAAGGAAGACUGUUGAUGUAUCAUAUUUUAGGUGGUUAUGCACUUUGAUUGUCAUCAAUAGUCAUCACUUCAGAUAUGGACAGUGGAUCUGCCAUAAGUGUUUGAAUAUUCUGUGUAGAUGUGUAAGUAGGUACAAAGUUAGCAAACUCAUAAUAUUUCUAAAAAAUGAGGCUACCUUGGUCGAUACUGUUUUAUCAUUUUCACAUAAGGUUACAUUUAUUUUAAAUUACAUUAAAAUAUUGACCAUUAAUUUUAUCUUCACAUUGUGUGUACAUUGUUUCAUUUUAGAUGUUAGGGUGGUAGAGUAGGUAGGUCCUGGAGCCAGCCAGACUGGCCUGUGUUGGAACCCUGGCUCUCCCGCUUAGCAGCUGGGUGACUUUGGGUAGGUUGCUUAGCCUUUCUCAAACUGUUUCAUCUGUAAAAUUUGUCUUAAAGAAUAAAGGAGAUAAUAUGAGUAACUCACUUAGCAUACUACCUGCCACAUUGUAAAUACUUACAUGGUAACAGCUGCUCUUAAGAAUUAUAAUUUCAGGGAUCCCUGGGUGGCACAGCGGUUUGGCGCCUGCCUUUGGCCCAGGGCGCGAUCCUGGAGACCCGGGAUCGAAUUCCACGUCGGGUUCCCGGUGCAUGGAGCCUGCUUCUCCCUCCUCCUGUGUCUCUGCCUCUCUCUCUCUCUCUCUCUCUGUGUGACUCUCAUUAAAAAAAAAAAAAAAAAAAAAAAAAAAAA
RNAcentral lists this long non-coding RNA (3918 nucleotides) under Canis lupus familiaris (dog). Its description in RNAcentral is "lncRNA (ENSCAFG00000050618.1)". Lineage: Eukaryota; Metazoa; Chordata; Mammalia; Carnivora; Canidae. The record is from RNAcentral.